GAUGAAGAACGCAGCGAAAUGCGAUACUUGGUGUGAAUUGCAGAAUCCCGUGAACCAUCGAGUCUUUGAACGCAAGUUGCGCCUCAAGCCAUUAGGUUGAGGGCACGUCUGCCUGGGCGUCACAUAUCGUUGCCUGAUGCCAGUUUCCUCGUGAUGGGUGACUGUGCAGGGCGAAUGAUGGCUUCCCGUGAGCAUUGUUGCCUCAUGGUUGGUUGAAAUUGAGUCCUUGGUAGGGAGCGCCGUGAUAGAUGGUGGUUGAGUGACGAACGAGACCCAAUCAUGUGAGACCCCUACCGAAUUUGGCCUUCAUGACCCACAUGCGUCUUUGGAACGCUCAUGACGAGACCUCAGGUCAGGCGGGGCUACCCGCUGAGUUUAAGCAUAUCAAUAAGCGGAGGA
Molecule: unclassified non-coding RNA, 399 nt
Filed under: soil metagenome
Description: partial contains 5.8S ribosomal RNA, internal transcribed spacer 2, and large subunit ribosomal RNA
Rfam family: 5.8S ribosomal RNA (bases 1-122)
Source: RNAcentral